GGAUGUGAGGGCGAUCUGGCUGCGACAUCUGUCACCCCAUUGAUCACCAGGGUUGAAUCGGCUGAUCAGGCUGGCUAGGCGGAUGUUCCCCUCCUCCCUCACCGAUCCAUGUGCGUCCCUCCCGAAGCUGCGCGCUCGGUCGAAGAGGACGACCUUCCCCCAGAGGAGAGGACCGGUCUUCGGUCAAGGGUAUAUGAGUAGCUGCGCUCCCCUGCUAGAACCUCCAAACAAGCUCUCAAAUAGGGCAUUUAAGUUUACAAGUUCUACUGAGUAGCAAUUUAAUCCAGGGCAAUUGAUUGUGCCU
This 304-nucleotide small nuclear RNA is filed under the name Myotis davidii. RNAcentral's name for it is "7SK RNA". It matches the Rfam family "7SK RNA". From Rfam's summary of the family: 7SK was discovered as an abundant small nuclear RNA in the mid-70s but a possible function has only recently been suggested. Two independent studies have found that 7SK RNA binds the CDK9/cyclin T complex (known as elongation factor P-TEFb). P-TEFb activates transcription by phosphorylating the C-terminal domain of RNA polymerase II. The record is from Rfam by way of RNAcentral. Lineage: Eukaryota; Metazoa; Chordata; Mammalia; Chiroptera; Vespertilionidae.